Molecule: non-coding RNA, 69 nt
Organism: Ornithorhynchus anatinus (platypus)
Lineage: Eukaryota; Metazoa; Chordata; Mammalia; Monotremata; Ornithorhynchidae
Source: the annotation of a RefSeq genome assembly
GCCUAAGUAAUUUAAAUAAAAUUUUGGUCUUGUAAGCCAAAUUUGAGGAUGAAACUUCCUCCUAAGGCC